AUAAUGAUACUCCCGUCCAGUCACAGCUCGAGUGGCCCAGAGCCGCCGCAAGCAAUGAGGGCGGCUUCGAGAGAUCCUCGGAGGGGCCAGUUGCCCGUG
This 99-nucleotide non-coding RNA is filed under the name pig gut metagenome. Its description in RNAcentral is "pemK RNA". It matches the Rfam family "pemK RNA". The record is from RNAcentral.